RNAcentral lists this ribosomal RNA (109 nucleotides) under Bacteroides gallinaceum. The record is from RNAcentral. RNAcentral also lists the same sequence under 3 other names. Lineage: Bacteria; Pseudomonadati; Bacteroidota; Bacteroidia; Bacteroidales; Bacteroidaceae.
UGAGGCGGCCACAGCCCGGAGGCUCCACCCCUUCCCAUUCCGAACAGGGCAGUUAAGCUCCGGCGCGCCGAUGGUACUGCGAAAGCGGGAGAGUAGGUCGCCGCCGUAU